Non-coding RNA from Pelobates cultripes (western spadefoot toad), 212 nucleotides. NCBI's taxonomy places the organism in Eukaryota, Metazoa, Chordata, Amphibia, Anura, Pelobatidae. The record is from the annotation of a GenBank genome assembly.
GACCAAUUCUACAAGAUGCUCCUUUUUCUUGUAAAUUUGUACCAAAGAUAUGGCAAAUUACUUCAAAACCAGUUUGGAUAAGGCAAACCCAGGGCAAGCAUUGCAAGGAAAGAGGAGCCAUAGAAACCUUGUCUUUAUUUCUCAUUUUCUCCAUGUGAUUUUUCAAUGUUUGUAGUAACCAACAGGAAGCAAAGAUGGAGGCAUCCAUUUGC